Molecule: small nuclear RNA, 126 nt
Filed under: Microcebus murinus (gray mouse lemur)
Lineage: Eukaryota; Metazoa; Chordata; Mammalia; Primates; Cheirogaleidae
Description: U1 spliceosomal RNA (ENSMICG00000026191.3)
Rfam family: U1 spliceosomal RNA
About the family: U1 is a small nuclear RNA (snRNA) component of the spliceosome (involved in pre-mRNA splicing). Its 5' end forms complementary base pairs with the 5' splice junction, thus defining the 5' donor site of an intron. There are significant differences in sequence and secondary structure between metazoan and yeast U1 snRNAs, the latter being much longer (568 nucleotides as compared to 164 nucleotides in human).
Source: RNAcentral
ACACUUACCCGGCAGGGGAGAUACCAUGAUCAUGAAGGUGGUUUUCCCAGGGUGAGACUUAUCCACUGUAUUCCAGAUGAGCUGACCUGAGAUUUCCUCAAAUGUGGGAAACUUGGGAGAAAAAAA